RNAcentral lists this ribosomal RNA (239 nucleotides) under uncultured Lactobacillus sp. RNAcentral describes it as "partial 16S ribosomal RNA". It matches the Rfam family "Bacterial small subunit ribosomal RNA", at positions 125 to 356 of the family's 1533-position model. Lineage: Bacteria; Bacillati; Bacillota; Bacilli; Lactobacillales; Lactobacillaceae. The record is from RNAcentral.
CCGUAGCCCAAGAGAUCGGGAUAACACCUGGAAACAGAUGCUAAUACCGGAUAACAACAGAUGAUGCCUAUCAACUGUUUAAAAGAUGGUUCUGCUAUCACUCUUGGAUGGACCUGCGGUGCAUUAGCUAGUUGGUAGGGUAACGGCCUACCAAGGCGAUGAUGCAUAGCCGAGUUGAGAGACUGAUCGGCCACAUUGGGACUGAGACGCGGCCCAAACUCCUACGGGAGGCAGCAGCG